RNAcentral lists this ribosomal RNA (447 nucleotides) under uncultured bacterium. Its description in RNAcentral is "partial 16S ribosomal RNA". It matches the Rfam family "Bacterial small subunit ribosomal RNA", at positions 330 to 792 of the family's 1533-position model. The record is from RNAcentral.
CCCAGACUCCUACGGGAGGCAGCAGUGGGGAAUAUUGCACAAUGGGGGGAACCCUGAUGCAGCGACGCCGCGUGGGCGAGGAAGUAUUUCGGUAUGUAAAGCCCUAUCGGCAGGGAAGAAGAAAUGACGGUACCUGAAGAAGAAGCCCCGGCUAACUACGUGCCAGCAGCCGCGGGAAUACGUAGGGGGCAAGCGUUAUCCGGAUUUACUGGGUGUAAAGGGAGCGUAGACGGCGAAGAAAGUCUGAAGUGAAAGCCCGCGGCUCAACCGCGGAAUGGCUUUGGAAACUUUUUUGCUGGAGUACCGGAGAGGUAAGCGGAAUUCCUAGUGUAGCGGUGAAAUGCGUAGAUAUUAGGAGGAACACCAGUGGCGAAGGCGGCUUACUGGACUGUAACUGACGUUGAGGCUCGAAAGCGUGGGGAGCAAACAGGAUUAGAUACCCGUGUA